UGUGGCGUUAAGUAGGCGCGCGCGGGCGGCGCCCCGCUCAUUCCCUCGCAGCGCCGGGCAGGGCUGGCUGCUGCCGCGCCUCGCCGCCGCGCCGGCCUCAGCCGCCCUUCCCUUCGCAUCCCGGAGGUGGGUGCCUGCUCGGAUCGUCCUGCUGGGGACUCCGCGGCCUUUCCCUAUGCCCUGUAGCUCUCCUCCUUUCUGGACUCAGUUGGGCCGCCGCUCCGGCGCUCCUCCUCCGGUGUGAGGCGCUUCCCGCUUAGGGCCGCGCCGCCUCUCGCUUCGUCCUCCUUCUUUCGGGUUUAUUCUCUUCGGCUGCCGCCACCCCUCGGGGGCUCUUGCCCGCCAUGAGUUACGGGCGCCCCCCGCCAGACGUGGAGGGCAUGACGUCCCUCAAGGUGGACAACCUGACCUACCGUACGUCCCCGGACACGCUCCGGAGGGUCUUCGAGAAGUACGGCCGCGUAGGCGACGUCUACAUCCCCCGGGACCGCUACACCAAGGAGAGCCGCGGGUUCGCUUUCGUCCGUUUCCACGACAAACGCGAUGCCGAGGACGCGAUGGAUGCCAUGGACGGGGCUGUGCUGGAUGGCCGUGAGCUCCGUGUGCAGAUGGCCCGCUACGGCCGCCCGCCCGACUCGCACCACAGUCGGCGCGGGCCGCCGCCGCGCCGCUACGGGAGCAGUGGCUACGGCCGCCGCAGCCGCAGCCCUAGAAGACGCCGUCGUAGCCGGUCUAGAAGCAGGAGCCGCUCUAGAUCACGCAGUCGGUCCCGUUACAGUCGGUCUAAGUCCCGCUCUCGCACACGCUCUCGGUCUCGCUCCACCUCGAAGUCCAGGUCUGCCAGGAGAUCCAAGUCAAAGUCCUCGUCUGUCUCCAGAUCCCGGUCCAGAUCAAGAUCACGAUCCAGAUCUAGAAGCCCUCCCCCUGCCUCAAAGAGGGAAUCCAACUCUAGAUCCAGGUCUAAGAGCCCUCCCAAGUCUCCGGAAGAAGAAGGAGCUGUAUCCUCCUAGGCUCAUGGUAAUGUACCUCGGGAUCGGCACAUGGUGCAUGUUACUUUAUUGUAGCACUUAGCCGGGGUGUUGGGUAGUUCUUAGACUAUUAAUAGCUCGAACCAAGUGAAUCCUAACGGGGCACAUUGUUAGUUAUUUUAUUUUUUUUCUUGAGCGGUGCUUUUUUUUGUUUGUUUAUUUGUUACUGAUUUAGGGAAAUUAAAUACCGAAGGGCUUUCUACAGAGAAAUUUUUUGUUGGUUGUUUUUUUUUACAGAGCAAAUGUUUUAUUGAGAGAUUAAUGGCUUGGUUUUAAUAAAAAAAAAUAUUGUAUGAGACGCAACCUAUGAUGAAAAUGACUAUUUCUUACUGUAUUUAUCCAACAUCUGCAUUUUCCCCUUUAAAGCUGCGGUCUCCUGUUUGCUAAAAGAAUAUUGGCCAGUAUUGCAGAUUUUAACUGAUUUGGCUGAUCCUCCAGGGACCAGUUUCUGUGGGCGUGUGUUGGAGCAGAUGCAUCAGAUAAAUGAGAACCCACAUAAAGGACGCCUUUGGGGGGAAAAGAUCGCUUGAGUCUUCAGUCCAUUGGAGAGACCCCUGGCACGAGCAACCAGCCGAUGAAAAAGGUUAUUUUGUAACAUUUUGUCUAACUUUUUACUUGUUUAAGUUGCGCCUCAAUUGGCAGAUUUUACAGUUUAUGUGCCAUUUUGUUGCUGUUAUUCAAAUUUCUUGUAAUUUAGUGAAGUGAACGACUACCGAUUUCAUUAUUGGCUUGGAUAAUUGAGGUAAAACUUCAUUUUUGUUUAUACAGUGCUGACUUAUUUGAAAUUAAAAAAAACCUAUGGGUAAUUUGCUGCCUCCAGUUUCAUACUGAAGAAAUGUGCAGCCGUUCUAUGCUGAGUAGCUAACCCUGUCAGAAAAAAAACAAAGUAUUUUCAAUUUUGUCUUUGUUCCUUUAAAAAUUCUGCAGAACUUUAAUUUGAAACUUAUUGUAAAUGUUUGGUUUUUUAAUUACUAUUAUUAUUUUAAACUUUGAAUUCAAAUAGUAUCUUCAAAUUCAAAUUGGUAGAAAUCUUUUCAGGUGACAGUUGAUAUUUGAAAAGGAAUUGUUUUAUCAGACUCAAUUCUAAUCUCUUCUCUUAUGUAUUUUUGUGCACUAGGCGCAGUUGUGUAGCAGUUGAGUAAUGCUGGUUAGCUGUUAAGGUGGCGUGUUGCAGUGCAGAGUGCUUGGCUGUUUCCUGUUUUCUCCUGAUUGCUCCUGUGUAACGAUGCCUUGUCGUGCAGAAACAAAUGGCUGUCCAGUUAAUUAAAAUGCCUGACAACUGCACUUCCAGUCACCCGGGCCUUGCGUAAAAAUAAUGGAGCAUACAGUGAGCACAUCUAGCUGAUGAUAUACACACCUUUAUUUUUUCCAGAAUGGUAAAACUUACCAACCUGCAUAUACGAACUUACAUAUGAGAAAUGUAAUGUUAAGAAAGAAAUGGUUCAUUCCUUUGUAAGUACUGAUUGGUGUAUCUUUUGCUUAAGACAUUCUGUACUAUACCCACUGUCUCUGUAGUUAAUAUUAAACAUUUUUUUUCUGUGUUAACUUUUCUCAAAUUAAUGUCUGAGUCAGCUUAUUUUUAGCUUGAAAAGAUUUCUGCAAUGAUACUGUCAAUGUUUAACUUCUAUAUGGUAACUGAAUGCUUAGAAAUCUUAUCCACUGGGAUUGCUUUUUCAAUCACUAUGGGCAAACUUAACAGGUAUUGUAACUAACCCAUAAUGUUGUGUGGUGAGUGGUGGACAUCAACCAUGAACACAGAAAUCAGGCAGGUUGCAGAAGAUAACACACUGAGCAGUACUAAUUGCAUUUGCUUUGUGCUUGCCCUGACUCAACAGGCUGCUGCUGGAUGGGGGGGCUGAUCUUACAGUUAAGAUUUAUCAUAUUGAUUUGGGUACCAAAUGAAUUGUAACUUCAUGUGUCAAGGGUUACUGUAAUGCCUUGUCAACUUUCAUGCAUGUAUGUUAAAUGGGAAUGGAAACAUCUGAAUAUUUGCAGUCUGGCUUAAUUGAGGAUUAAAAGUACUUUUCUACAAA
Molecule: RNA transcript, 3061 nt
Organism: Pogoniulus pusillus (Red-fronted tinkerbird)
Lineage: Eukaryota; Metazoa; Chordata; Aves; Piciformes; Lybiidae
Gene: SRSF2
Gene name: serine and arginine rich splicing factor 2
Exons: 3
Source: RefSeq, a predicted model, not a curated record